Molecule: ribosomal RNA, 356 nt
Filed under: uncultured Escherichia sp.
Lineage: Bacteria; Pseudomonadati; Pseudomonadota; Gammaproteobacteria; Enterobacterales; Enterobacteriaceae
Description: bacterial SSU rRNA
Rfam family: Bacterial small subunit ribosomal RNA
Source: RNAcentral
UAGAGUUUGAUCCUGGCUCAGGACGAACGCUGGCGGCAGGCCUAACACAUGCAAGUCGAACGGUAACAGGAAACAGCUUGCUGUUUCGCUGACGAGUGGCGGACGGGUGAGUAAUGUCUGGGAAACUGCCUGAUGGAGGGGGAUAACUACUGGAAACGGUAGCUAAUACCGCAUAACGUCGCAAGACCAAAGAGGGGGACCCUCGGGCCUCUUGCCAUCGGAUGUGCCCAGAUGGGAUUAGCUUGUUGGUGGGGUAACGGCUCACCAAGGCGACGAUCCCUAGCUGGUCUGAGAGGAUGACCAGCCACACUGGAACUGAGACACGGUCCAGACUCCUACGGGAGGCAGCAGAAGGG